AUGUCUGCUUAUGCCUUCUUUGGGCAGAUGUGCAGAGAAGAACAUAAGAAGAAAAACCCAGAGGUCUCCCUGUCAAUUUUACAGAAUUUUCCAAGAAGCGCUCUGAGAGGUAGAAGACAGAGUCUGGGAAAGAGAAGCCUAAAUUUGGUGAAGUGGCAAAGGCGGAUAAAGUAUGCUAUGAUUGGGAAAUGAAGGAUUAUGGACCAGCUAAGUGAGACAAGAAGAAGGACCCUAAUGCCCCCAAAAGGCCAUCGACUGCAUUCUUCCUGUUCUGUUAAGAAUUCAGCCCCAAGAUAAAAUCCACAAACCCUGGCAACUCUUUUGGUGACAUGGCAAAAAAAAGAAAACUGGGUGAGAUGUGGAAUAACCUAAGUGACAAUGAAAAGCAGCCUUACAUCCCUAAGAUGGCCAAGCUGAAGGAGAAGUAUGAGAAGAAUGCUGCUGACUAUAAGUUUCAAGGAAAGUUUGCUGGUGCAAAGGAUCCUGCUAAAGUUGCCCGGAAGAAGACGGAAGAGGAAGAUGAAGAAGACGAGGAGGAAGAAGAGAAGAAGGAGGAGUAG
RNAcentral lists this long non-coding RNA (560 nucleotides) under Homo sapiens (human). RNAcentral describes it as "non-protein coding lnc-IPCEF1-5:1". Lineage: Eukaryota; Metazoa; Chordata; Mammalia; Primates; Hominidae. The record is from RNAcentral.